AUGAGGUAGUAGGUUAUGCAGU
RNAcentral lists this microRNA (22 nucleotides) under Ciona intestinalis (vase tunicate). Its description in RNAcentral is "Cin-Let-7-P2o1-v2_5p (mature (guide))". Lineage: Eukaryota; Metazoa; Chordata; Ascidiacea; Phlebobranchia; Cionidae. The record is from RNAcentral.